RNAcentral lists this long non-coding RNA (299 nucleotides) under Theobroma cacao (cacao). RNAcentral's name for it is "long non-coding RNA (TCAC_LNC005282)". Lineage: Eukaryota; Viridiplantae; Streptophyta; Magnoliopsida; Malvales; Malvaceae. The record is from RNAcentral.
GUGGUCAUUGGGUCGAUGACACUUACAAGGGUGGUGAGACAUGAGUGAGGGGAGUUGGGAGUGAUUUGUCAUUUUCGGGACUAGUGAAGCUGGUUGAAGAGGUUGUUGCAACUCACAUAAUAAUGAAAUCGAGCUACAUGCAUAUCUCAGCCAUGUCGUAGGGGUUUCGCUCGUAGUUAUCAGGGAUGAUGAAGAUGUAGCGAGUAUUUUGUGAGAUGAGAGGGCAGUUGUUGUGUUUGUGAUAGUGAAGGCAGAAAAUGCAAACAAUAUUCCACAUGAGCACGGUAUCCAACAUAGUA